ACUUUUACUGAGAGCUCUUUCGAGAUUCUAUGGGUGGUGGUGCAUGACCAUUCUUAGUUGGUGAAGCGAUUUGUCUGGUUAAUUUCGUUAACGAACGAGACCUCAGUCUGCUAACUAGCUGCCGAGGUAUCCCUUCAUGGCCAGCUUCUUAGAGGGACUAUAGUCUUUUAGGCUAUGGAAGUUUAAGGUAAUAACAGGUAUGUGAUGCCCUUAGAU
Molecule: ribosomal RNA, 216 nt
Filed under: Olea europaea subsp. europaea
Lineage: Eukaryota; Viridiplantae; Streptophyta; Magnoliopsida; Lamiales; Oleaceae
Description: SSU_rRNA_eukarya
Rfam family: Eukaryotic small subunit ribosomal RNA
Source: RNAcentral